CCCGGCGGCGGCGGCGGCUCCCGGCGGCUGUGCGGUGCGGAGCGGAGCGGCAGGCAGCGGGCGGCAGCUGUGCUGUGCUGUGCUGUGCUGUGCUGUGCUGCGCGGGGCGGUGCGGAGAGGAGAGGACAGGAGAGGAGAGGAGAGGAGCGGCUCGGUGGGCGGCGGGCGGCCCCCGCCCCGGGGCCGGCGCCGACGCCACCUCCUGCGGCGGCGGGGGGGGGGGCUGCCGCCUGGGGCCUCGCCCGCGCCUUCGCCUGCGGCCCCGCGGCGCAGGGCUCCCUCGGGAGCGACGGCCGGCGCUGCCCGAGAUCCUCGCUGGGAGAGCGAGAGGGAGCCUCGCGAACGGGGCUGCCUCUUUAAAAAGUUAACAAAAACCAAAAGUUACGACACUGACAUCACCUUUCACAUUUUGGUCACAGAAUUAGAGAUUCUGCAGACCCUUAAGGUACAGGAACAUUAACAGCAAAAUCCCCAUUUCUGCCAGACCUUCGGAAAUUCCAAUAGAAGGAGCCAAGUCUACAUUUCCUAACUCUUCUGACUUGGAUCCAGCUCCUCUGAAAUCAUAUGGCAUGAGCCCUGGAAAGGAAGAUGAGGAGAACUGUUCCAUUCAAUCAGAACCACAGCACCAGCCACUGUUAUUCCCACUCUGUGUGCUGGAUCCCUUUCAAACAGAGAUGCAGAGCUGGAUUUGGAACGCGAUAGCUGCUAGAAUGCUUUACUGUCUUUUUGCUGUACAUUUUGGACCACAGUGUUUAUGUGCUCACCUGCAAAUUUUAUGCCUGCAUUUGAAAAUUGUAUAUUCUGCGGAGCCCAUAUCAUGACUUAACAGAUUGGCAGUCACCAGGCCGUUGCCUGGAAUCCUUGAACAAGAGCCUAUGCCUAAGCGCAGUUUCUGCACUGCCGA
This 904-nucleotide long non-coding RNA is filed under the name Apteryx rowi (Okarito brown kiwi). RNAcentral describes it as "lncRNA (ENSARWG00000004602.1)". Lineage: Eukaryota; Metazoa; Chordata; Aves; Apterygiformes; Apterygidae. The record is from RNAcentral.